GUUGGUGGUGUAGGGGGGAGCACAGCUGCCUUCCAAGCAGUUGACCCGGGUUCGAUUCCCGCACUGACA
This 69-nucleotide transfer RNA is filed under the name Lepisosteus oculatus (spotted gar). The stretch from base 5 to 62 matches the Rfam family "tRNA", at positions 7 to 64 of the family's 71-position model. Rfam says of the family: Transfer RNA (tRNA) molecules are approximately 80 nucleotides in length. Their secondary structure includes four short double-helical elements and three loops (D, anti-codon, and T loops). The record is from Rfam by way of RNAcentral. Lineage: Eukaryota; Metazoa; Chordata; Actinopteri; Semionotiformes; Lepisosteidae.